Molecule: ribosomal RNA, 465 nt
Filed under: uncultured bacterium
Lineage: Bacteria
Description: partial 16S ribosomal RNA
Rfam family: Bacterial small subunit ribosomal RNA
Source: RNAcentral
GACGAACGCUGGCGGCGUGCUUAACACAUGCAAGUCGAACGGAAAGGCCCCUUUGGGGGUACUCGAGUGGCGAACGGGUGAGUAACACGUGAGUAACCUGCCCUUGACUUCGGGAUAACUUCAGGAAACUGGGGCUAAUACCGGAUAGGAAUCCUUGCUGCAUGGUGGGGGUUGGAAAGCUUCGGCGGUUUUGGAUGGACUCGCGGCUUAUCAGCUUGUUGGGGGGGUAGUGGCUUACCAAGGCUUUGACGGGUAGCCGGCCUGGGGGGGCGACCGGCCACAUUGGGACUGAGAGACGGCCCAGACUCCUACGGGAGGCAGCAGGGGGGAAUAUUGCACAAUGGGCGGAAGCCUGAUGCAGCAACGCCGCGUGCGGGAUGACGGCCUUCGGGUUGUAAACCGCUUUCAGCAGGGGCGAAGCUUGUGGUGACGGUACCUGCAGAAGAAGCACCGGCUAACUACGUG